GCAAGUAUAAUUAUAAUGCUGGUUUUGUGGAUACCUUGUCCAGAUUUCGUAACAAUUAAAAUCCAUACUCUAUCUCACUUUCUUUGACUAUUAUACAUGGGUGCGCAAAAUGAGCAAAAUGAGAGUGUUAAUAGUGACUAAUAGGUGGCAGAUCAUGCCUAUAAUAUUAUAUAUUAUGCCUCAGGGCGUAGCCACAGAGGAAUACAGUAAAGCUGACUGUGUGUGUGUGUCUGUGUAUUAAUUAUAUCCCAGCUGUAUAAGCUGUAACUGCAUGUGAGUAUAUAGUGCAUGUGAUAGCUAGUAACAAGACAGCUCCCAUAAACUCUCAUGACUGUAUGUUAUCACCCUCGAUACAUUAGGACCUCUAUAAUAUAAUUGUCAGCCUGAUAUCUUGCUGGAGUGAUGGUGACACACUUGAUUCAUGUAAGAAAAGUAGAUGCUCUGCAAGCUAAUGUAAUGGUCUUUCUUCUACUGUGACUCUCUUUCAUAUAGUUAUCUCAUGAUUGUAGAUAGUAUGACCCUUUACCUAGUAGUCUACCCUGGUUUUUCUCAACUGUUGACAAAAUUGAAGAAGUGAGUGAAUGAAGAGUUGUUCUACGACCAAUAUAUAUAUGGAGAGAGUUGGAGGACCAUCUCAGUAAGAUUGGAGAGGAGGAACUAGCAAAGAAACUCCUGUGAUGCUGCACUACAUGUAUACUCUUACCCACAAAUGAAGAAAAACGAUUGGUUGAUCAACAAUCUGAAAACACUAAAAUUACUACCCAUCUAAUAUUAAGCUACGAGGGAGUUGCUGGUCCACUUCCCCCCAGAGGAGAGAUAACCACACCUACCCACACUGCUACUAGUUAUAUGAUUGAAGAUUCGUGUCGUAAUAAAAUGCUGAUUGCUUGACGGAGUGAUUGACCAAUGGAUGAAGAGUACGUUGCUCUGGUUGACCAACAUGGAAGGAGCUGGCAGACUACUCAGUAAGAGGAGCAGCUAGCAAGGAAUUACUGACCAGCUACGAGAUUGCAGGUACUAUGUGGCUGAUGGUGUGAGGCUCUACUCUCAAGGAGACCUGGAGAGUGGUCACACAGACCAGGGGAGUGCAGUUGGUCGAGCAGCUCAUCCACAAAGUGUACAGCAGUACUCCUCCCAGCGAGAAAUAUUUGGGAUGCACUGUUGGGGUCCAACACCAGUGAAGCAGAACGUAUGCUUUCAUCAGCACAUGAGACGGUGGUCUGUUUAUAAUUACAUAUGAUUUAGGAAUUAUAAAUUUUUGUUAAACCCACACAGCAAUUGCAUUAGUCACUCUAUGUACUAUACAAUGCACCAAGGGCUUAUAAAGAGAAGAGGGCAAUUAACUGAGGCUAUAUUCUCAGACUCAGCAAACUUCAUACUGUUACAAUUUUUAGACAUUCCACGCAUGGGCAGAAUACUUCACUUUGCCUAUAUAAAACCUCGACACCUUGGUUCCAGAGGCAGGCCGGAUAACAAAUGGAUAAACCACACCUUGAUCCACUUAAUUGAUAAAACAGCAGUGCACGUGGGCGUCUGUGCAUGCUAAUAGCAGUUAUGAAGUUUAGUGAUGACCGUAUAGUGGGGGUAAUUUUCAUUGGUGCCAAAAAUGUUCGUAUAGACUACCUAUUUGUAUUUUAAAUAUUUGUAGCUUCAGGAUAGUGACGUUGGCGGUAGAAUAAUUAAUUUUCGUAUGAUGCGAAAGGUACAAAAAUUUCCAACAUAACCCUGCUGUACGGUACAUAGGGUAAAUAGUGAGUUGCAUGCCCUCUUCUCUUUAUAAUUAUAGCACAUUAUAAAGUACCACAUUUAAAACUUACCUCGUAAGUACCCGUGUAGCAUGCUGCUUACAUCCAUAGCCACCUGCUUCAACACCAAAACGAAGUGUUCCCGACCAUAUUCGUUUGUGGUCUGCUGAGACAUUUUGAUAUUGCAUGGAUUAGAGAAGGUAAAAAUAUCAAAAGAUCUAUAGAGAGAUAGCAUAAUAGGCAACAAAGUUGAGGCUACAAACUAUGGGAGGUGUGGUAUAAUAGUUAGGACUUUUACUAUGACUAGCUGGCUAGUGAUGUUUAUUAUAACAAACAUAAAUGGGAGGUGAUUACCGCCAAAAUUAGCAGUAAAAAUAGGUGUGUUUUAAAAAAUGGUGCUGUUUUUUUUACAGAGAAUCAGUGAUGUGUUUUAAAAAUAGUGCUGUUUUUUUUACAGAGAGAGGUCGAUUUUUUCAGAGAGGUGCGUUUUGUAGAGAGAUGCAAUUUUUGGAGAGGUGCGUUUUAUGAGGUGCCAUUUUGUCCAACUCCACCCCAGAGGAGGCUGGUACCACUUGACCUUAGGUCACUAAUUGCAAACUUCUCUUACAGACUACUUCAAGCUUAGUUUGUAGUGUUUGUCAGUUUAAAACGUUAUUUUUCAGGGGGGUCAAAUUUUAUUUUUGCCAAUUUUGCUCAGAAGCAGAGAUACAAUCAAAAGUCUUGCUCUUGUGCUAGCCUCGAUUAUCAUGAGUGGCUUGUUCUCGAGGUCACUGCAUAGCUGGCUUUGAGACUUGUAUCUCUGCUUCUGAGCAAAAUU
Molecule: long non-coding RNA, 2562 nt
Organism: Halichondria panicea
Lineage: Eukaryota; Metazoa; Porifera; Demospongiae; Suberitida; Halichondriidae
Exons: 6
Source: RefSeq, a predicted model, not a curated record